Molecule: non-coding RNA, 248 nt
Organism: Danio rerio (zebrafish)
Lineage: Eukaryota; Metazoa; Chordata; Actinopteri; Cypriniformes; Danionidae
Source: RefSeq, a predicted model, not a curated record
ACAAAAGUCACACUUGAAAACGGGUGUGGUCCUCUCCAUAAAUGGAGAAAAUCUUAAUUCUGCAGGUUGAUUGGCUCUGCCUUGCCUUCUAUUGGCCAACGAUGACGAGCCGUCUUUAGGUUCCAGAACUUUCUGCGAACUUUUUCACCAGCUAUCCAUCCUGUGUCAGAGAGACUCGCCAGAUAUUCCAGAUUCUUCACUGCACUUUGCAUCUUGGUGAGUGUUGGAUAACAUUUUUAUUUCAAAAA